Molecule: long non-coding RNA, 1002 nt
Organism: Bos taurus (domestic cattle)
Lineage: Eukaryota; Metazoa; Chordata; Mammalia; Artiodactyla; Bovidae
Source: Ensembl
AUUUCUCUGAGAUCUUAUAAUUGUGCUUAGGGGAAAGAUGGGAAGUAGGGAAUAACCAGGAUAAUAUUCCCAUAAUCACAUAGUCCAGACAAAUUCCUGAGCCAACAGUAAGCUCAGGUACCACAGGUGGAACAAGUCCUAAGAAAUGAUCACCAGCAAUCUAAUUGGGCAGUUGAACAGCUGGAUAGCAGAAGGUUAAGAUGCAGAAAUGUAUUGAAUUCAAGGAAAUAUCAUAAGGAUUAAUACAGCAUUUAUUAUAAUUUACAUUGGCUCCGGUUCACAGGAACGAAUCCAUUUUGAAUGAAACAUUAAAACCUUUUAGUGGUAAUGGCUAUUUGUAGAAAGAGUAUGGGAGUAUCAGAAAUUACCCUGGGCACAGGGUGUAUUUGGAGAGUUUUAUUGGUCCUAUUCCAGCAGCAACCAGAGCAAGUUUUUUUUUUUUUUUGCAUCCUCAGACUUCAAAAGUCUUCCUAGAGGAGGAACACAGGCAUUGUGGGUGUCCCAGGAGAACUGAUCCAACCACUUCAAGAUAUAAAGUUUCUUCAUGAACAGAAGGAAUAGUUUAAGAGGAGAGUUGUAUUUUUAUCCCUGGAUUUUUUUUUUUUUAAUUUUAUUUUAUUUUUAAACUUUACAUAAUUGUAUUAGUUUUGCCAAAUAUCAAAAUGAAUCUGCCACAGGUAUACAUGUGUUCCCCUGAACCCUCCACCCUCUUACCUCCCCGUACCAUCCCUCUGGGUCGUCCCAGUGCACUAGCCCCAAGCAUCCAGUAUCGUGCAUCGAACCUGGACUGGCAACUCAUUUCUUACAUGAUAUUUUACAUGUUUCAAUGCCAUUCUCCCAAAUCCUCCCACCCUCUCCCUCUCCCACAGAGUCCAUAAGACUGUUCUAUACAUCAGUGUCUCUUUUGCUGUCUUGUACACAGGGUUAUUGUUACCAUCUUUCUAAAUUCCAUAUAUAUGCGUUAGUAUACUGUAUUGGUGUUUUUCCUUCUGGCUUACUUCA